This 440-nucleotide ribosomal RNA is filed under the name uncultured bacterium. RNAcentral's name for it is "partial 16S ribosomal RNA". It matches the Rfam family "Bacterial small subunit ribosomal RNA", at positions 338 to 795 of the family's 1533-position model. The record is from RNAcentral.
CCUACGGGUGGCAGCAGUGGGGAAUAUUGCACAAUGGGGGAAACCCUGAUGCAGCGACGCCGCGUGAGUGAAGAAGUAAUUCGUUAUGUAAAGCUCUAUCAGCAGGGAAGUAAAUGACGUUACCUGAAUAGCAAUCCCCGUCUAACUCCGUGCCAGCAGCCGCGGUAAUACGUAGGGUGCAAGCGUUAUCCGGAUUUACUGGGUGUAAAGGGAGCGUAGACGGCAUGGCAAGUCUGGAGUGAAAGGGGGGGGCUCAACCCCGGGAUUGCAGCGGAAACUGUCGGGCUGGAGUGCAGGAGAGGUAAGUGGAAUUCGUCGUGUAGCGGUGAAAUGCUUAGAUAUUAGGAGGAACCCCAGUGGCGAAGGCGGCUUACUGCACUGUAACUGACGUUGAGGCUCGAAAGCGUGGGGAGCAAACAGGAUUAGAUACCCUUGUAGUC